This 253-nucleotide ribosomal RNA is filed under the name uncultured bacterium. RNAcentral's name for it is "partial 16S ribosomal RNA". It matches the Rfam family "Bacterial small subunit ribosomal RNA", at positions 524 to 776 of the family's 1533-position model. The record is from RNAcentral.
UACGAAGGGGGCUAGCGUUGCUCGGAAUUACUGGGCGUAAAGCGCACGUAGGCGGCUUUCUAAGUCGGGGGUGAAAUCCUGGAGCUCAACUCCAGAACUGCCUUCGAUACUGGAGAGCUCGAGUCCGGGAGAGGUGAGUGGAACUGCGAGUGUAGAGGUGAAAUUCGUAGAUAUUGGGAAGAACACCGGUGGCGAAGGCGGCGCUCUGGACCGAGACUGACGCUGAGGCGCGAAAGCUAGGGGAGCAAACGGG